CAAACCUGUCCUGGUCCAUGCACAGAUGUUUGAGAAAUACACAGAUGAUUGUCAAAAACCUGAAGAUCAUAAAUAGUGCCAAAAGACAUGCCACAUCUAAAGCAUCCCUGUGA
Molecule: long non-coding RNA, 113 nt
Filed under: Monodelphis domestica (gray short-tailed opossum)
Lineage: Eukaryota; Metazoa; Chordata; Mammalia; Didelphimorphia; Didelphidae
Description: lncRNA (ENSMODG00000030743.2)
Source: RNAcentral